CAUCAAAAAGCCGCAGUUCAACAUCGGAAAUACCCCGGUGGAGCUGGUGAUUCGUAAGCAUACUGUUAUUGAAGAAAAAUGAUUUUUCACCGACAGUAUCGAGGUAACUUCUCAAACGCCUGUCGUGGUCAGCUGGGACGAUGUCGCGGACAUGGAAGGAUGAUAUAUCGAAAUUUCCGGCUGGGUGAAAAUGAUGUUCAUCGAAACGAAGAACAAAACAGGCGAUGCAAUCUACUCCAUCGGAGCUAUAUCGGACGGCAUCGAAUUGAAGCUCGCGAUUCGCGUCAUGAGUUCAGCCGCUAGCUGGCCGACAAACAUAUUCGUCGGAUGUGCGGUCACAGUGCGAGGACUUCUACAAUACGAUGACGUCUGUCCGUUCUUAAAAGUCGCAAAAGGUUCCGACAUAACGCUUCUGAAAAAAAAUGCACUGGACCCGGAAAUCCUAAUGGACGCUGCACUCGUACCAAAAAAGAGGGUAAAAAAAGCAUAAGAUCCGUACAGGAGCGAACACUAUAUUCGAAAAACAGAAGAAAAAAAAUCGAAGUAAAAAAAUGAAGAAAUUAGAAAGAACAGACAAAAUGAUAUGAGGCUAAGGAAAUUCAUGAAAAUUAUGCGCGAGAAAACUAAAAGAAGAAGGGAAUACAGAAAGGUGAACAGAGAGAGAUGAAGAAAAAAGAAAGGAGGGUUGGAGGACAGUAACAGAAGCGGAAAGCGCGAGAAAUAUAAAGAAAAACGAAAAGGACGAGGAAGAAUUAGAAAAAGAAAAGAGAGAACAAUAAAGAUAUUUUCAGUGUUGCACAUUGAUCAUUUAAUUUAUCGAAUAAUCGAAUAAUUUAUUUAUUAGUUUAAU
Molecule: long non-coding RNA, 850 nt
Organism: Venturia canescens
Lineage: Eukaryota; Metazoa; Arthropoda; Insecta; Hymenoptera; Ichneumonidae
Exons: 3
Source: RefSeq, a predicted model, not a curated record